GGCAAGUGUGAUUCUGGGCAAGAAAGGAAUUCUAAAAAAAGGUCAUUGGCAGGAUUUACAGUAUGUUGACACAGCAAUCCAGAUUCUCAAAUAAGUGACACAGUACUUGCAGACAGCAAUAUUGGUCUUUAAAUGGUAAAUGCUUUGGACCCAUCACAAUGAAUGUUCACCAACGAAUUUCUGUACUGAAGUACUUUUUAAUGUUUUUCAAUGGAAUUUUCUUGAUAUUAGGAAUUGUUAUUCUUGGAUGUGGGUUAUGGAUUUUAU
This is a long non-coding RNA of Polypterus senegalus (gray bichir), 267 nucleotides long. RefSeq lists it as uncharacterized. The record is from RefSeq and is a predicted model, not a curated record. The transcript has 4 exons. NCBI's taxonomy places the organism in Eukaryota, Metazoa, Chordata, Cladistia, Polypteriformes, Polypteridae.